UCCUACGGGGGGCAGCAGUGGGGAAUAUUGCGCAAUGGGCGAAAGCCUGACGCAGCGACGCCGCGUGAGGGAUGAAGGUCUUCGGAUCGUAAACCUCUGUCAGCAGGGAAGAACGGUCACUGUGCUAAUCAGCAGUGAAUUGACGGUACCUGCAAAGGAAGCACCGGCUAACUCCGUGCCAGCAGCCGCGGUAAUACGGAGGGUGCGAGCGUUAAUCGGAAUUACUGGGCGUAAAGCGCUCGUAGGCGGUAUGUCAAGUCAAGGGGGAAAUCCCCGCGCUCAACGGGGGAACUGCCUGUGAAACU
RNAcentral lists this ribosomal RNA (305 nucleotides) under uncultured bacterium. RNAcentral's name for it is "bacterial SSU rRNA". It matches the Rfam family "Bacterial small subunit ribosomal RNA", at positions 337 to 634 of the family's 1533-position model. The record is from RNAcentral.